Molecule: ribosomal RNA, 118 nt
Filed under: Periophthalmus magnuspinnatus
Lineage: Eukaryota; Metazoa; Chordata; Actinopteri; Gobiiformes; Gobiidae
Source: RNAcentral
CUUUGUGGACAGACCUCCUUGUUAAAGCCUGUUCUCUUCAGAUCUCAGGAGCUAUGCAAGAGCAGGGCUGGUUAGUACGUGGAUGGGAGACUGCUGGGACUACCAGGUGUCGUGGGUG